UUCCAUAUUUAAUAUUUUAUGGUAUUACCUGCUCUAUGUUUAUUAUAAAUGGCCGCAGUAUCUUGACUGUGCGAAGGUAGCAUAAUUAAUUGCCUUAUAAUUGAAGGCUUGUUUGAAUGGUUUGACGCGGUAAACGCAAAUGUUUAUUUUUUUUUUGAAAUUUAUUUAGAGGGCACAGAAUCCUCUACUUUUAAUUAGACGGAAAGACCCCAGGAUCUUUGUUUUUUGUCUGGGGCAGAUUCUUAUAUUUCAUAAGUAUUUUGAUCCUUUAAAGUUUAAUGAUUUAAGUUACCCUGGGGAUAACAGUGUAAUAGUUUAAAAGAGUUCAUAUCGAAUAAACUGUUUGCUACCUCGAUGUUGACUUAGGUAAAUAGUGUAGGCGCAGUAGUCUAUUCUUUUGGUCUGUUCGACCAGUUCUACCUCC
RNAcentral lists this ribosomal RNA (424 nucleotides) under Proteocephalus pollanicola. RNAcentral describes it as "partial 16S ribosomal RNA". It matches the Rfam family "Bacterial large subunit ribosomal RNA", at positions 1831 to 2599 of the family's 2925-position model. Lineage: Eukaryota; Metazoa; Platyhelminthes; Cestoda; Proteocephalidea; Proteocephalidae. The record is from RNAcentral.